CGCACCUUGCGCUCUCUGGUAUUCCGGAGAGCAUGCCUGUUUGAGUGUCAUGAACUCUUCAACCCGCCAGUUCCUUGUGAAUUGUGUUGGUGUUUGGUUUUUGAGCUUUGCUUUUGUUCCAAAAGCUUGCUCGUAAUGUAUUAGCAUCUCAAUUUCAAAACUUUGGAUUGACUCGGCGUAAUAGACUAUUCGCUGAGGACACUCUUUUACUAGAGUGGCCAGGUUAAGAUAAUAGUAGAAGCUUCAAACUCUCAAUUUGAAGUCAAAUUUAGAUUAGACCUCAAAUCAGGCAGGAUUACCCGCUGAACUUAA
This 312-nucleotide unclassified non-coding RNA is filed under the name Basidiomycota sp. RNAcentral describes it as "partial contains 5.8S ribosomal RNA, internal transcribed spacer 2, and large subunit ribosomal RNA". The record is from RNAcentral. Lineage: Eukaryota; Fungi; Basidiomycota.